AGUCGAACGAACCUUCGGGUUAGUGGCGAACGGGUGAGUAACGCGUGGGAAUCUGCCCUGGAGUGGGGAACAACAGUUGGAAACGACUGCUAAUACCGCAUACGCCCUGAGGGGGAAAGGCUUCGGCCGCUCUUGGAUGAUCCCGCGUCUGAUUAGCUUGUUGGUGGGGUAACGGCCUACCAAGGCGACGAUCAGUAGCUGGUCUGAGAGGAUGAUCAGCCACACUGGGACUGAGACACGGCCCAGACUCC
RNAcentral lists this ribosomal RNA (251 nucleotides) under uncultured bacterium. Its description in RNAcentral is "partial 16S ribosomal RNA". It matches the Rfam family "Bacterial small subunit ribosomal RNA", at positions 60 to 339 of the family's 1533-position model. The record is from RNAcentral.